This 425-nucleotide ribosomal RNA is filed under the name uncultured archaeon. Its description in RNAcentral is "partial 16S ribosomal RNA". It matches the Rfam family "Archaeal small subunit ribosomal RNA", at positions 323 to 746 of the family's 1478-position model. The record is from RNAcentral.
CUACGGGUUGCACCAGUCGGGAAACUUCUGCAAUGCACGCAAGUGUGACAGAGCAAGCCAAAGUGCUUUUCCGUAUUAGGAAAAGCUUUUAUGAGAUCUAAAAAUUCUUAUGAAUAAGGACUGGGCAAGACUGGUGCCAGCCGCCGCGGUAAUACCAGCGGUCCAAGUUGCAGCCACGUUUAUUGGGUCUAAAACAUCCGUAGCUUGCUUAGUAAGUCUUUUGUGAAAUCUGGCAUCUCAAGUGUCAGGCCCGCAUAAGAUACUGCUUAGCUAGAGAUCGGGAGACGUAAAGAGUACAGUUAGGGUAGCGGUCAAAUGCGUUGAUCCUUACUGGACUAACAAUAGCGAAGGCACUUUACGAGAACGAAUCUGACUGUGAGGGAUGAAGGCUAGGGUCGCAAAACGGAUUAGAUACCCGCGUAGUC